This 736-nucleotide long non-coding RNA is filed under the name Lathyrus oleraceus (garden pea). RNAcentral describes it as "Pisum sativum (pea) long non-coding RNA (PSAT_LNC026046)". Lineage: Eukaryota; Viridiplantae; Streptophyta; Magnoliopsida; Fabales; Fabaceae. The record is from RNAcentral.
UCCAUACAAAAAGAAGGAACCGCUUGAAACAAAAAAUGAUGAAUGAUGUUGUAUUUGUCAUGGCUAAUUCAAGAUUGUCCAAAAAAAAGAAAGGGAGAAGAACAUUUGAGAUAUAGUUCAAUGACCUUGGAUCUGAUGAUGAUUGGCUUAUGGACGAAGAUGGAGACAUUGAAAUUUCGGAUGAAGACUUUAUUCAAAUGAAUCAAGAACAAAUUCAAGAGGAUGAUAUUUUUGUUCAUGAUUUGGAAGAUGAACAUGAUGGAGGGAUAAAUGAAAAUGAAUUUGAUGAUGACUUUGAAGAUGAAAAUGAAGAUGAAGGAGAUAAUGAAGACAAUGAUGAUCCAUUGAAUGAUUAUGACCAACUCCAACAUGAAUUGUUUAGAAAUUGAGUGAAUUAUCAUUAAGUUUUUCUUAUAAGUUUUCAAUUAUUAUUUGCUAUUGUUUUGAAUGUUGUGGUGUUUUGGAGUUGUCUUGAAUUAGUUUUAAUGAAUAUUAUCCUAUGAAAUUUCAGUUUUUAAAAGUAAUUUUAGUGUUAUUUGAAUUUUAUUUUUAUAUUAUGUAGUGUCAUAUGCAUAUUAUUAAUCUAUAUGCAAUAUUUUAGUGUUAUUUGAAUUUUAUUUUUAUAUUAUGUAGUGUCAUAUGCAUAUUAUUAAUCUAUAUGCAAAAUAUAUGUGAAUUUUUAAAUUUGGUAGGAUCUUACGAUCCGUGUUACGAUCCCCCGGUUCACGAUCUAAUU